Juglans regia (Persian walnut) is the source of this 639-nucleotide long non-coding RNA. RefSeq lists it as uncharacterized. The transcript is spliced from 3 exons. The record is from RefSeq and is a predicted model, not a curated record. Lineage: Eukaryota; Viridiplantae; Streptophyta; Magnoliopsida; Fagales; Juglandaceae.
CUUCUCAAGUUUCCUUCCUUCACACGAGAGACUCUCGGUUUCCUCUAGUUCGCACGUUCUCUCUCUUUUCUUCAAGCCGAUCUCUCCUAUUUCUUAAACCUAAGAUUUCUACCGAAAAUCUUCAAGGAAAUCAACCUCAUAAGUGAAUUUCUAUGACUCUAAUCUCUAGUUUGGAAUCUUAGAUCUAUGGGUUUAACCUAGGGUUUUAUUUAGGAAAUUUUCUAUUGUGUUCCAGCCUUGGAUCUUUCGGAUUUCUCUUCCUUUUCUCAUUUGUUGUUCGUUUUGUGGCUUGAAAGGGGACCAAAACAGGAGUUUAUUUUCAAGAUUCAAGGAACCUACUUGUAAAGGAACGAGGUAUGGAUGAAGAGGUUGUGGAGCUAGGCACUACCAAGGAGGGAGGGGCCAAUGCUUAGAGUUUCCUUGAAAGUUUGACUUUGAUGAUGAUGAUUUAUGUUUUUAUGUUUUACGGUGGGUCCCCUAUUGGGAUGUUUUGUUGGAUUAACAUUAAGACAAUAUGCAUUUGGGCAUGAUGUAAAUACUAUGGUGGGGUGAUAGUAACCCCACAUAUGAUGGUUAACACCUUUUUGGUAUGUGUUGUAGGGACUGAGUCCCCUCUUAUUUAGAACUAGUUAUGCUUAA